CAACCCUCAAGCUCUGCUUGGUAUUGGGUGUCACUUUUCUGGUGCACCUUAAAAUCAGUGGCGGUGCCAUCUGGCUUCUAGCAUAGUAAAUACUUCUUGCUAUGGAGUUUAGGUGUUUGCUUGCCAUAACCCCUAUUUUACA
RNAcentral lists this unclassified non-coding RNA (142 nucleotides) under uncultured Helotiales. RNAcentral's name for it is "sequence contains ITS2". The record is from RNAcentral. Lineage: Eukaryota; Fungi; Ascomycota; Leotiomycetes; Helotiales.